UACGAAGGGGGCUAGCGUUGCUCGGAAUCACUGGGCGUAAAGGGUGCGUAGGCGGGUCUUUAAGUCAGGGGUGAAAUCCUGGAGCUCAACUCCAGAACUGCCUUUGAUACUGAAGAUCUUGAGUCCGGGAGAGGUGAGUGGAACUGCGAGUGUAGAGGUGAAAUUCGUAGAUAUUCGCAAGAACACCAGUGGCGAAGGCGGCUCACUGGCCCGGUACUGACGCUGAGGCGCGAAAGCGUGGGGAGCAAACAGGG
This 254-nucleotide ribosomal RNA is filed under the name uncultured bacterium. Its description in RNAcentral is "partial 16S ribosomal RNA". It matches the Rfam family "Bacterial small subunit ribosomal RNA", at positions 524 to 777 of the family's 1533-position model. The record is from RNAcentral.